RNAcentral lists this unclassified non-coding RNA (306 nucleotides) under fungal sp. Its description in RNAcentral is "partial internal transcribed spacer region". The stretch from base 1 to 46 matches the Rfam family "Eukaryotic small subunit ribosomal RNA", at positions 1786 to 1831 of the family's 1831-position model. The record is from RNAcentral. Lineage: Eukaryota; Fungi.
AAGUCGUAACAAGGUUUCCGUAGGUGAACCUGCGGAAGGAUCAUUAACAUUUUUACUCUUUUUUGGGUUUGGUUUGUGUUGUUUGUUUUUAUUAACAGAUGCACAUUCUACUCUCAUUUCACCCCAAAUGUGCAUUGUGUUGUGCUUUUUGACUCAAAUCAAAAGCACUUCUUUUUCUCAACUUUUCCAACCAUAAAACCCCUUUUUAUUACUUCUAGACUGACUUUAAACCACUUGAUUCGUACACUUCAUACUGUACGAUGACCAAUCAUAAUACAACUCUUAGCAACGGAUAUCUAGGCUCUC